This 406-nucleotide ribosomal RNA is filed under the name uncultured bacterium. RNAcentral describes it as "partial 16S ribosomal RNA". It matches the Rfam family "Bacterial small subunit ribosomal RNA", at positions 30 to 526 of the family's 1533-position model. The record is from RNAcentral.
AUUGAACGCUGGCGGCAGGCCUAACACAUGCAAGUCGAACGAGUGGCGGACGGGUGAGUAAUGUCUGGGAAACUGCCUGAUGGAGGGGGAUAACUACUGGAAACGGUAGCUAAUACCGCAUACCAUCGGAUGUGCCCAGAUGGGAUUAGCUAGUAGGUGGGGUAAAGGCUCACAUAGGCGACGAUCCCUAGCUGGUCUGAGAGGAGGACCAGCCACUCCGGGAGUGAGACACGGUCAAGAAUCCGAUGGUAGGCAGCAGUGGGGAAUAUUUGACAAUGGGCAGAAGCCUGACACAGCCAUGUCGCGUGUAUGAGGACGGCCUUCGGGUUGUAAAGUACUUUCAGCGGGGAAGCGGUCCCCGCAGAAGAAGGGCCGGCUAACUCAGUGCCAGCAGCCGCGGUAUUAC